RNAcentral lists this ribosomal RNA (643 nucleotides) under Microsepsis sp. LZ-2013. RNAcentral describes it as "partial 12S ribosomal RNA". The stretch from base 419 to 490 matches the Rfam family "tRNA". Lineage: Eukaryota; Metazoa; Arthropoda; Insecta; Diptera; Sepsidae. The record is from RNAcentral.
UACUAAAGUAGUAAUAGUUAUGUGCUUGAAACUUAAAAAAUUUGGCGGUAUUUUAGUCUAUUCAGAGGAACCUGUCCUGUAAUCGAUAAUCCACGUUGGACCUUACUUAAGUUUGUUAAUCAGUUUGUAUACCGUCGUUAUAAGAAUAUUUUAUUAGAACAAUAAUUUUCUAUAAUUUUUAUAAAAAUUUAUAUCAGAUCAAGGUGCAGCUUAUAUUUAAGUAGAGAUGGGUUACAAUAAAAUAAUUUAUAUGAAUAAAUAUUUGAAAUAAUAUUUUGAAGGUGGAUUUGAAUGUAAAAUUAUAAAGAUUAAUAAUUUGAUUUUAGCUCUAAAAUAUGUACAUAUCGCCCGUCACUCUUAUUAUUAAGGUAAGAUAAGUCGUAACAUAGUAGAUGUACUGGAAAGUGUAUCUAGAAUGCAAUUUAAAGCUUAAAUAGUAAAGCAUUUCAUUUACAUUGAAAAGAUUUUUGUGCAAAUCAAUAUAAAUUGAUUAGUUUUUAUUUAUUAAUUUAUUUAUUUAUUUUUAGUUUAUUUUAGAAAUAACUAUUUAAUAAAAUGUUUUAGUAUUUUAUAAAGAAUAAAUAAUAUUUAUAAUAGUAUAUUAGUAUUGUGAAAGAAAAUUGAAAUAAUUUGAAAAAUUUUU